Molecule: ribosomal RNA, 252 nt
Filed under: uncultured bacterium
Lineage: Bacteria
Description: partial 16S ribosomal RNA
Rfam family: Bacterial small subunit ribosomal RNA
Source: RNAcentral
UACGUAGGUCCCGAGCGUUGUCCGGAUUUAUUGGGCGUAAAGCGAGCGCAGGUGGUUUAUUAAGUCUGGUGUAAAAGGCAGUGGCUCAACCAUUGUAUGCAUUGGAAACUGGUAGACUUGAGUGCAGGAGAGGAGAGUGGAAUUCCAUGUGUAGCGGUGAAAUGCGUAGAUAUAUGGAGGAACACCGGUGGCGAAAGCGGCUCUCUGGCCUGUAACUGACACUGAGGCUCGAGAGCGUGGGGAGCAAACAGG